ACUUCUAGUUUUGUACUAGUAGUACGUACUAGCUAGUGAUGCAUGUUGAAUCUGCGUGUUGCAGGCUGAGGGUGAGCAUCCCCGGGCAACCUUCCCGAUGCGUCGUCGCCGGCGAGGCUGCUUGUGCAAUUACACAAGUAUAUGCAUUUUUUGUGCUCCAAUGCAACUGCAGACGUUUCUAGACGGGUGCGUAUGUAGAGGCACGAAAAAAAUACGCUUACAUUCUUCCGACGAAAAAAAUACGCUUACACCAAAAUAGUGAACUUCCUAGAGCCUAAACCCUAGAAAGUUAGCCCUAAACUCUAGGAAGUUAGCUAAACUCUCGGAAGUUAAGCCAUCCCGUCGGAAGUUUGGCUCUCGAAAAUUUUUUGUCGGAAGUUAGCUUAACUUCCUAGAGCCCUCUAGGAAGUUACCUAACUUCCUACAGCCAAAGAAGCCUCUCGGAAGUUAGUAGGUUCUCGCAAGUUAGUAGCUUCACGCCGUCAGCGCCGUCAGCUAACUAACUUCCUACGGCUGACUGUAGCCCCUAGGAAGUUAGUUGGCGAACUUCCUACGCCUGAUUGUAGCCACUAACUUCCUACAGCUGACUGUAGCCCAUAGGAAGUUUGCUGGCUAACUUCCUACGGCCCAAUUGGCCUCUAGGAAGUUAACUUGACCAGCAUUACAAAUGCUGUUUAUUUUUAUUUUACACCACAUUCCACAAUAUAACAAAUAUAUCAACAGCUAUAUAGCACAACAUAUUUUCACAUAAAACAUCUCAUACACAAUCACAUAACAAUAUUUAAAUCCAUAGUCUCAUCAAUUACAUCACAAAAGUCUCAUCCAUAGUCAUAAUAAGACACAUCUCAUCCAGUCAUAAUAAAAGACAAUAUCUCAUACAUAGUCAUAAUAAAAAUCUCAAGUAUCACAACACAUAACAUUGAAGCUCACGAUCGCCGAUCACCAUCGGGGUACAGUGACGAGUGAUGGUCGAUACCUCCACUAGCGAAGAGGGUUUCAACAAAGUCUAACUCGUCUUCUCGUUGAUGCGUCGGCAAGGUAGCUAGAGGGGCCUAAUAUACAUGUACAAAUGGUAUUUGCUGAGUUACAUUAUAAUAUAACUAACAACAAGUAAAUGAUGAUGAAUUUGCAUACCUGAUGUUCGGUAGGUGGAGAUGUAGGUGUAGGUGGAGGUGAAGACCAAGGAUAAUGUAUGGGAGGUAUAAACAAUAAAAAAAUCCAUGCUAACACACUAAAAGAAGUAUAUAAUGCAGUAGGUUAGGUCUGUAAGCAAAAGAAUAAAUAUCCAACAUUUAGAUCUAAACCAUGUGCAGAAGUAGAAUUCACUUCAUUUAGUGCAUUAUGUACAAAGGCAACAGGACAUAGGACUAAAAACGUAUUCACCUAGACUAGGAUGAACGACAAAGCCACUCCACCAGAAGGUGCGUUUCCUGAACCAUACAAUUGCUCAUUUUGUUGAAUCAGGUUUUGCAAACCUACAUACUUGAUAUGCCAAAAAAAAGCCCACAGAUACGAAAGUCACAAAUUGGUAGUUGAUAAUAAAUAGUGGUUGUAAGAAAAGGCAAGCAUAAAAUACAAAGAAAUAAUUAUUGCACAUGUUUUCUGUGAAUCAAUACUUUGACAAUUGACAAAUAAAGUUAGGAAUGAUGAUGGCACACCAAGUUUUCAGUAAAACUAGAAAAAGAG
Molecule: long non-coding RNA, 1686 nt
Filed under: Zea mays
Lineage: Eukaryota; Viridiplantae; Streptophyta; Magnoliopsida; Poales; Poaceae
Description: drought responsive lncRNA
Source: RNAcentral